RNAcentral lists this ribosomal RNA (418 nucleotides) under Enterobacter sp. RNAcentral's name for it is "bacterial SSU rRNA". It matches the Rfam family "Bacterial small subunit ribosomal RNA", at positions 335 to 745 of the family's 1533-position model. Lineage: Bacteria; Pseudomonadati; Pseudomonadota; Gammaproteobacteria; Enterobacterales; Enterobacteriaceae. The record is from RNAcentral.
ACUCCUACGGGAGGCAGCAGUGGGGAAUAUUGCACAAUGGGCGCAAGCCUGAUGCAGCCAUGCCGCGUGUAUGAAGAAGGCCUUCGGGUUGUAAAGUACUUUCAGCGGGGAGGAAGGUGUUGUGGUUAAUAACCGCAGCAAUUGACGUUACCCGCAGAAGAAGCACCGGCUAACUCCGUGCCAGCAGCCGCGGUAAUACGGAGGGUGCAAGCGUUAAUCGGAAUUACUGGGCGUAAAGCGCACGCAGGCGGUCUGUCAAGUCGGAUGUGAAAUCCCCGGGCUCAACCUGGGAACUGCAUUCGAAACUGGCAGGCUAGAGUCUUGUAGAGGGGGGUAGAAUUCCAGGUGUAGCGGUGAAAUGCGUAGAGAUCUGGAGGAAUACCGGUGGCGAAGGCGGCCCCCUGGACAAAGACUGACC